RNAcentral lists this ribosomal RNA (1475 nucleotides) under metagenome. RNAcentral describes it as "bacterial SSU rRNA". It matches the Rfam family "Bacterial small subunit ribosomal RNA". The record is from RNAcentral.
AGAGUUUGAUCCUGGCUCAGAACGAACGCUGGCGGCAUGGCUAAGACAUGCAAGUCGAACGAAACACGCUUAUAGUGUGUUGAGUGGCGAAAGGGUGAGGAAUAGAUAGGAACGUACCUUUGGCUCCGGGAUAGCUUAUCGAAAGGUAGGGUAAUACCGGAUAAUGUGACUUGUUACCAAAGAUUUAUCGGCCGUAGAGCGGCCUAUCUCCCAUCAGCUAGUUGGUAAGGUAAUGGCUUACCAAGGCUACGACGGUAGCGGGACUGAGAGGUUGGCCCGCCACAUCGGGACUGAGACACUGCCCGGACCUCCACGGAGGGCUGCAGUAACGAAUAUUGGGCAAUGAGCGAAAGCUUGACCCAGCAAUGCCGCGUGUAGGAUGAAGCCUUUCGGGGUGUAAACUACUUUCAGGGUUAAGAAAGUGCGCUUCGGCGCAUUGAUCUACCCCAGAAGAAGUCACGGCUAACUUCGUGCCAGCAGCCGCGGUAAUACGAAGGUGGCAAGCGUUGUUCGGAAUAACUGGGCUUAAAGCGUGUGUAGGUGGAAUGGUCAGUGUUUUGUGAAAUCCCCCGGCUUAACCGGGGAAUUGCUUGGCAUACUGCCAUUCUUGAGGUCGGUAGGGGUGCGUGGAACUCUUGGUGGAGCGGUGGAAUGCGUAGAUAUCAAGAGGAACGCCCGUGGAGAAGUCGGCGCACUGGGCCGAUCCUGACACUGAGACACGAAAGCGUGGGGAGCAAACAGGAUUAGAUACCCUGGUAGUCCACGCUGUAAACGAUGCCUACUAGGCUACGGAAGUUCUGACACUUUCGGAGCCGCAGCAAAAGCGUUAAGUAGGCCGCCUGGGGAGUACGGUCGCAAGGCUAAAACUCAAAGGAAUUGACGGGGGCUCACACAAGCGGUGGAGCAUGUGGAUUAAUUCGAAGCAACGCGCAGAACCUUACCUGGGUUUGACAUGUUUGGAUGGUUGCCUGGAAACAGGUUAAUCUGCCCUUCGGGGUGAAACUUACACAGGUGCUGCAUGGCUGUCGUCAGCUCGUGUCGUGAGAUGUCGGGUUAAGUCCUUUAACGAGCGAAACCCUUACCGUUAGUUACCAUCAGGCUAUGCUGGGGACUCUAGCGGGACUGCCGGUGUUAAACCGGAGGAAGGUGGGGAUGACGUCAAGUCCUCAUGGCCUUUAUGCCCAGGGCUUCACACGUGCUACAAUGGUCUGGACAAAGCGACGCAAUACCGCGAGGUGGAGCAAAUCGCAUAAACCAGGCCUCAGUUCGGAUUGCAGGCUGGCAACUCGCCUGCAUGAAGUUGGAAUCGCUAGUAAUCGCGUAUCAGCUAUGACGCGGUGAAUGUGUUCCUGAGCCUUGUACACACCGCCCGUCAAGUGAUGGAAGCUGGGAGUACCCGAAGUCGGCUUGCUAACCUUUUAGGAAGCGGUCGCCUACGGUAAGCUCGGUGACUGGCACUAAGUCGAAACAAGGUA